UAUCUUCAUGAAGAUUGCACACAAAAGAUACUCCAUUUAGACAUCAAACCCCAAAACAUUCUCUUAGACAAUAAGUUUAACGCAAAAAUCUCUGAUUUCGGAUUGUCUAAACUGAUUGAUCGAGACCAGAGCAAAGUUGUGACAACCAUGAGAGGCACUCCAGGCUAUUUGGCUCCAGAAUGGCUGAGCUCAGUAAUCACAGAAAAGGCAGACGUCUACAGCUUUGGGGUGGUUGUCCUAGAAUUGUUGUGUGGGAGGAGAAAUGUUGAUCACUCACAGCCAGAAGAAAAAAUGCAUUUAAUAAGCCUUUUUGAGAAGAAGGCAGAAGAGGAUCAACUGUUAGAUCUAGUCGAUAAUUGCAGUGAAGAUAUGCAGUUGAAUAAAGCAGAAAUAGGGAACAUGAUGAAGAUUGCUGCUUGGUGUUUGCAAAAGGAUUAUACAAUGAGGCCUUCCAUGUCAAUGGUGGUUAAAGUCUUGGAAGGUGUUGCAGAAGUUGAACCUAAUCUAAACACAUUUCCAAUCCACCAUUCACAACAACAUCAACAGAAGCCACUGAAUUGUCGCCCUUUCUUCUAUCUGGGCCAAGGUGACUAUUCAUUGUUAGUUUUGUUCAGUUGUUUUUCUAUGCUGUGUGAACUUGUACGAAACAAAUUAGAUUUGCUGCAAGUGAAUUAGACAUGAAAUUAGUCAUUACAAUUGAAAAACUAAUGGGACGCUCUCUAGUUUAUUUGCUUACAUCAGGUGAAUUGUUUUCCUGUUAUGUUUCUAAUUUCCACCCC
This 779-nucleotide unclassified non-coding RNA is filed under the name Hevea brasiliensis (rubber tree). Lineage: Eukaryota; Viridiplantae; Streptophyta; Magnoliopsida; Malpighiales; Euphorbiaceae. The record is from RNAcentral.